This 429-nucleotide long non-coding RNA is filed under the name Setaria viridis. RNAcentral's name for it is "long non-coding RNA (SVIR_LNC005355)". Lineage: Eukaryota; Viridiplantae; Streptophyta; Magnoliopsida; Poales; Poaceae. The record is from RNAcentral.
AAGCCAGAGUAUGAAAUAUGUAACAUGCAUAGUUGUGCCCCUACCCUUUUCUUAUGAAUUUGAACUUGUUCUCUCUAGGACCUUUAAGUAUUGAUGUACGAACUUGCACUAUAUUAGAACUGGUUAUAUUGUAUUGUGGCAUGGAUGUACCCCUACCCUUUUCUUAUGCUGGCGGUCAGUUACAAGAUAAUAACAUCUAAUCCACAUUAAUAAAGUCUUACAAGAUAACUAAUAAGUCUUACAACAUAACUAAUAAGAAAUAUUAAUUUAUCCUUUAACGAUUCUUCCUUCACAGUCACUAAGUAACCAUGGCUUCAUGGAUUUAUCAAUGCUUGCUUCAACACGCUUGAUUCUUCGUUCAUGGUCUUUGAACAGGUCCAAUUCUUCAUAUUGAUUGUAAUCCUCAAUGUCCACUACACCUUCAACUCC